RNAcentral lists this ribosomal RNA (434 nucleotides) under uncultured bacterium. RNAcentral's name for it is "bacterial SSU rRNA". It matches the Rfam family "Bacterial small subunit ribosomal RNA", at positions 29 to 508 of the family's 1533-position model. The record is from RNAcentral.
AUUGAACGCUGGCGGCAUGGCUAAAACAUGCAAGUCGAACGUGCCCGCAAGGGCAAGUGGCGAAAGGGUCAGUAAUGCGAUCGAACGUACCCUGAGGUGGGGGAUAGGGCAGGGAAACUUGCCAUAAUACCCCAUGAUGUCCUCGGACCAAAGGUUUACCGCCUUGGGAGCGGCGAUCGUCCUAUCAGGUAGUUGGUGAGGUAAUGGCUCACCAAGCCGAAGACGGGUAGCAGGUGUGAGAGCACGACCUGCGACAUCGGGACUGAGACACUGCCCGGACUUCUACGGAAGGCUGCAGUAACGAAUCUUCCGCAAUGGGCGAAAGCCUGACGGAGCAAUGCCGCGUGUGGGAUGAAGCGGCUACGCCGUGUAAACCACUGUCAGGGGGUAGGAACAAUGACCGCCCCCAAAGGAAGAGCCGGCUAACCCUGUGC